AGGACAAACGCUGGCGGCGUGCAUAAAACAUGCAAGUCGGACGAACAAAAUCCCGCAAGGGAUUAGUUAGUGGCGAACGGCUGAGUAACACGUAGGUGACCUGCCCCGAAGUGGGGGACAACUCGCCGAAAGGCGAGCUAAUACCGCAUGUGACCACCGGUUCGUUCCGGUGCUCAAAGCAGUAAUGCGCUUCGGGAGGGGCCUGCGGCGGAUUAGCUAGUUGGUGGGGUAAUGGCCUACCAAGGCUUCGAUCCGUAGC
RNAcentral lists this ribosomal RNA (259 nucleotides) under uncultured soil bacterium. RNAcentral's name for it is "partial 16S ribosomal RNA". It matches the Rfam family "Bacterial small subunit ribosomal RNA", at positions 26 to 287 of the family's 1533-position model. The record is from RNAcentral.